CCCUCCUGACAAUGGGCAAAGAGACCCCUUGGUGGUGGUGGUGUUCUUCUAUCAGUCAGGGGCAGAGCAGUUGGCAGCCCUUUGUUCAUCCUAGCUGGAUGCCUGGCUUGGUGGCCAAAGCGGUCUUGUGCCUGGGACUCAUGA
This is a small nucleolar RNA of Psammomys obesus (fat sand rat), 144 nucleotides long. RefSeq annotates it as small nucleolar RNA SNORA48. Lineage: Eukaryota; Metazoa; Chordata; Mammalia; Rodentia; Muridae. The record is from RefSeq and is a predicted model, not a curated record. The transcript has a single exon.